This 623-nucleotide long non-coding RNA is filed under the name Coturnix japonica (Japanese quail). RNAcentral describes it as "lncRNA (ENSCJPG00005004511.1)". The record is from RNAcentral. Lineage: Eukaryota; Metazoa; Chordata; Aves; Galliformes; Phasianidae.
UGAUGAAGCAUUCUUACCAGAAGAGUAGCUAUGAUGCAAAAUGUAUCGAGGCCAACACUUGUACUGAAAGCAGUUACGAAAAAUAUAUCUAAUUUAGUACCUCAUUCCUAAUUUGCAUUACAAGUUGCUUUUUUUUUUUUUUUCUUUUUCUUUUUUUCAGUGAGUAAUUUUAUUUGUGAAAGCAAGUAUUUCUUUGUUUAUCGUGGUACAGCGCAAGUUCCUUCAAACAAGUGUUCUGCUUGUUUCUACUGAUGCUCUUGGUCCCCAUACAGAACAGAUCUAUCUUGGCCCUGGAAACAGACUUUGUGGGCUUUUCACAAGUACUAGAAGAAGCUGGCUCUAAUAUUUGAGAAAUGAUCCCCUCUACAGAUUCAACCCAAUCUUCAUAGAGAUAUUCCUGUAAUUGAAGGCUCUGAAAAGUUCCUGUCUCUCUGGAUAGACUGAGAACAACUCUGUCCACUUGUCCUUCUUUGCUCUCUCUUCCUCCUUCAGCCUAUAGGAUCUGGAAGCAGGGCUUGGAGAACCAGCCAACAUAUGCAUGCAAAAUGCUCAGAAAUUCUCUACCCAUUGCUAAGGAAUACUUCUGUACUUUGGAACUGACCAUGUGGAGACAAAAGCUGUGA